This 852-nucleotide small RNA is filed under the name Xerochrysium dermatitidis. Its description in RNAcentral is "LSU rRNA". It matches the Rfam family "Eukaryotic large subunit ribosomal RNA", at positions 71 to 937 of the family's 3401-position model. Lineage: Eukaryota; Fungi; Ascomycota; Eurotiomycetes; Eurotiales; Trichocomaceae. The record is from RNAcentral.
GGGAUUGCCUCAGUAACGGCGAGUGAAGCGGCAACAGCUCAAAUUUGAAAGCUGGCUCCUUCGGGGUCCGCAUUGUAAUUUGGAGAGGAUGCUUCGGGUGCGGCCCCCGUCUAAGUGCUCUGGAACGGGCCGUCGGAGAGGGUGAGAAUCCCGUCUGGGGCGGGGAGCCCCGUGCCCGUGUGAAGCUCCUUCGAAGAGUCGAGUUGUUUGGGAAUGCAGCUCUAAAUGGGUGGUAAAUUUCAUCUAAAGCUAAAUACAGGCCGGAGACCGAUAGCGCACAAGUAGAGUGAUCGAAAGAUGAAAAGCACUUUGAAAAGAGAGUUAAACAGCACGUGAAAUUGUUGAAAGGGAAGCGCUUGCGAUCAGACUCGCCCGCGGGCUUCAGCCGGCACUCGUGCCGGUGUACUUGCUCGCGGGUGGGCCAGCGUCGGUUUGGGCGGCCGGUCAAAGGCCCCCGGAAUGUAGCGCCCCACGGGGCGUCUUAUAGCCGGGGGUGCCAUGCGGCCAGCCCGGACCGAGGAACGCGCUUCGGCACGGACGCUGGCGUAAUGGUCGCAAGCGACCCGUCUUGAAACACGGACCAAGGAGUCUAACAUCUACGCGAGUGUUUGGGUGGCAAACCCAUGCGCGCAGUGAAAGCGAACGGAGGUGGGAACCCCCCCGCGGGGUGCACCAUCGACCGAUCCUGAUGUCCUCGGAUGGAUUUGAGUACGAGCGUAGCUGUGGGGACCCGAAAGAUGGUGAACUAUGCCUGAAUAGGGCGAAGCCAGGGGAAACUCUGGUGGAGGCUCGCAGCGGUUCUGACGUGCAAAUCGAUCGUCAAAUUUGGGUAUAGGGGCGAAAGACUAAUCG